GUUUGUGACCUACAUAAUUUUUCUUCUUUCUAAAGAAUUUAUUUGAGGGCCAGGGAUUUAUCUCAGUGGUUCUGCCACCUGCUCAUAAGUGUAAGGUCCGGAGUUUGAUCCUGAAAAAAAAAAAAAAAAAAAGAAUUUAUUUGAAAUUUUCUUUCAAGGCAGGUAUAUUGCCAUCAAAUUCCCUCAGCUGUCUGAGAAAGAUGUUUAUUCUUUCACUUCUCCAUAUUACAAGGAAAAUUUUGCUAGUAAAGGCUUUGAGGCUUAGGAGAAGUCUUUUCUUUAAACAUUUUAAAUAUUUUAAUUCAUUCUCUUCUUGCUUGCAGUUUCUGAUGAGAACUGUGUUGUAGUUCUUUGCUUCAUCAAAAAGGUAACAUCCUCCCUCCAGAGUUUUUUACAAUAUUUUCUCUGUGUUUUAUUUUGCAGUUUGAAUAUGAUAUGCCUAGAUGUAGUUUUUGGCAUUUAUUUUAUUUGUUGUUUUUAAACUCCCUAGUUCUAUAAGUUUAUAUGUGUCAUUAAUUUUGGAAAAUUUUAGCUAUUUAGUACCUCAAAUAUGUCUUUUGCUCUUUUUCUGCUUCUAGUAUACCUGACUGCCCAAUGUGUCACCGGCCUCCUGCAGGUACUCAGCGGUGGGCGCCUGCCAACAGGAGCCCACUUGUCCAGGGCCACCUACGCUCUAAGGAGCCACCCAGGGUGGACCUCCAGAGGAUGUCACACUUUCUCCUGGGACUCCUGGAUGUCUGCAGGUGGGUGAACAGCGAGGGGUUAGGGAACUUGGAACUCUUCUUUCCCCCCACCUCUUUGGCCUGGCCACUGUCAACCCCAGUAUGGCUUCCAUCCUCCCAGAGGUUUUCAUCUUGUGUGGCAACCCAGGACACUUCCCGUGAACCACUGGUAAGGGGGCAAGGAGCGGGGAACUGCCUCAUCAGCCGAGGCCGUUUCCCUGUGUUGGGUUGCCAUUUGGGCUGGGAUCCUCAGGAGAGAAGGGCACUUCUCUCCUGGGCCUUGGAUGGGACAGGUAUAGUAAGUCCUGGGGCGGUGGGCCUGGGACUGCAGCAGUUUCCUGUGAGGCAGAUGAGAUGGAAGAGGCAGAGAAGAAUACAGCCCCCCACCCCCGUGUCCCUAACUCCCACCACUCUGCUUCUGGCAUGGCCCUUACUUUCUCUUUCAGAGAGGGGUCCAAACCUGCCUGCCUGUCAGCCAAGGAGGUGCUCAAGUGGAAAGCUGCUGUGUUCCAAGGGGGCCGUGAAUGUGGGCCUAGAUCCCAGCAGCGAAUGUCUGACUUCCUCCAGAACGGAACUACCAGUCUGCCCUUUGCUUCAAAUAGCCUAUUCAUCUCGGCAGAAAGACAGCCACACUUGCGGGACGCGGGGCGCAGACAGCAGGAGUCGGCUUCUUCCAGUGGGCCCACAUCUAACUGGCUUGGAAAAACUACAAAACAAAGGCUCUAAAAAAACUCUUGC
RNAcentral lists this long non-coding RNA (1460 nucleotides) under Fukomys damarensis (Damara mole-rat). RNAcentral describes it as "lncRNA (ENSFDAG00000024530.1)". The record is from RNAcentral. Lineage: Eukaryota; Metazoa; Chordata; Mammalia; Rodentia; Bathyergidae.